CCUACGGGCGGCAGCAGUGAGGAAUAUUGGUCAAUGGGAGAGAUCCUGAACCAGCCAAGCCGCGUGAGGGAAGACGGCCCUAUGGGUUGUAAACCUCUUUUGUCGGAUAACAAAACCCGGUACGUGUCCCGGACUGCGUGUAUCCGAAGAAACAGCAUCGGCCAACUCCGUGCCAGCAGCCGCGGUAAUACGGAGGAUGCGAGCGUUAUCCGGGUUUAUUGGGUUUAAGGGGUGCGUGGGGGGUCCGUUAAGUCCGCGGUAAAAUUGCGGGGCUAAACCCCGUCGAGCCGUUGAAACUGGCAGACUGGAGUUGGCGAGAGGUACGCGGAAUGCGCGGUGGAGCGGUGAAAUGCAUAGAUAUCGCGCAGAACUCCGAUGGCGAAGGCAGCGUACCGGCGCCAAACUGACGCUGAGGCACGAAAGCGUGGGGAUCGAACAGGAUUAGAUACCCCUGUAGUC
RNAcentral lists this ribosomal RNA (459 nucleotides) under uncultured bacterium. RNAcentral describes it as "partial 16S ribosomal RNA". It matches the Rfam family "Bacterial small subunit ribosomal RNA", at positions 338 to 795 of the family's 1533-position model. The record is from RNAcentral.